Molecule: non-coding RNA, 28 nt
Filed under: Homo sapiens (human)
Lineage: Eukaryota; Metazoa; Chordata; Mammalia; Primates; Hominidae
Source: RNAcentral
UAGGGAAAUUGGCUGAUGUGAUUAUGGA